This is a long non-coding RNA of Herpailurus yagouaroundi (jaguarundi), 1170 nucleotides long. RefSeq lists it as uncharacterized. Lineage: Eukaryota; Metazoa; Chordata; Mammalia; Carnivora; Felidae. The record is from RefSeq and is a predicted model, not a curated record. The transcript has 2 exons.
UAGACUAUAUGCUUGGUGACUUUUGCUGGCUGGCAAGCUGGACCUGUGGCUGGCAUGGGUUAGGGGAACCUGGUACUUUCCACAUAGUGAGUCCCUUGUCAGGACAGCUAAAACUGAAGCAGAUUAAGGUCAGGAUGUCCCAGGGUUCUGUGUGUGGAGAGCACACUAGCAGGACAGCUGAAUCUGAAAUGGGUGCAAGUCAGAGUGUCCCAGGGUGCUCUGUGCAGGGGGUACCUUGGCAGAAUGGCUGGAGCUGAUGCAGUGUACAGGCCAGGAGAUCCCUGAGCUCUCUAGGCAGAAGGUACCCUAGCAGGAGAGUUGAAACUAAAGUGGGUCCAAGCUGGGGGGACAAGGGGCUCUCCACACAGAGGCACCUUGGAAAGACAGCUGAAGCAGAAAUGGAUAUAAACUUGGGUGUUUCUGGAAUUUCCACACAGAGGGUGCCCUGAAUAAUGGCAGUUGUUGGUGUGGGGUAUAGGUUGGGAGGUCCUGGGGUGUUCCAUGCAGGGGUCGUCUUGGCAGGACAACUAAAGCAAAGAUGUGGUCCCUGGGCUCUCCACACACAACAUGCCCUGGCAGGACCGCUGAAACUGAAUUGGGAGCAAGUCAGGUUGUCCAAUGGAGACACCCUGGCUGGGUGGCUGGAGCUGAGGUUGGCAUGGGUGUAAGUGUUCUGGGGUGCUCUACACAGGUGUGCCUUGGCAGUAGCUGAAGCAGAUGUCAGCCAAAAAUGGUGAAGCACUCUGCACUGUGGGUGCCCUAGCAAGUCACUGGAAGCACAAGUGGUGUGCGCCUGGAGUGUUCUGGGAUGUCUGCACCUGUGUCACCUUGAUGUGAAGACUGGGGCUGGAGUGAGCACUAACCAGGGGUGUCCUGGUGUGUACGACUUUGUGGCUGCCUAGGUAGGACAGCUGGGGCUGGUGUGGGCUAAGGGCUCAGGGUUCACUGAGGCAGGAGGCCAGUUAGGGUGCCAGAUGUGCACUGGUCUGUGCUUUCAAGGUGGAGGGAGAGUGCAGACCAUGUACAUAAGCUCCUCCCACCCAGAGAGCAUUCUAGCAGCUCUCCCCACUGUUUGGUGGAGUUCUAGAGUUGACUCCUUUAUAUGCUAGUUGCUCUUUUAAACCAUGGCUUUUAGAGAAAGGUGAUGAUGAUGAUGAUGAUGAUGAUGAU